This 399-nucleotide ribosomal RNA is filed under the name Triticum aestivum (bread wheat). RNAcentral's name for it is "partial small subunit ribosomal RNA". The record is from RNAcentral. Lineage: Eukaryota; Viridiplantae; Streptophyta; Magnoliopsida; Poales; Poaceae.
AUGCAUGACUUAAGGCAAGACUCAUGUCCGCAAAAAAAAGAAGGAUUUGUCAAUGUACUAGCCUUACAAUCCUUUCAGCGUGUUAUGCAUGACCCUCAAGAGACUUGCCUUAAGUUAUGGGUUGUUGUGUAUAGGUUCGGCCCGGUCUAUCAAUCCUUGGAGAGCAGUACUAGUGAGCAUAGAAGAAAUGAAAGACUGAAAAGUAUCACUCUUUGUGUCUGCAACAUCAUAGUCUUUAGCUUCUUCUUGUCCGACUGUUUUCCACAAAAUAAAACUUUUGUCCUUCUUUAUCUCUAUAUCUCGGUCUCAGAGGUUGUCGAAAGGCAACAAGACAUAUUAGAGGCUAAUGCCUACUCUUGGCUAAGUUCAAUCUUAGCUUCACAGUUUGGGCCACCAUAA